RNAcentral lists this ribosomal RNA (427 nucleotides) under uncultured bacterium. RNAcentral describes it as "bacterial SSU rRNA". It matches the Rfam family "Bacterial small subunit ribosomal RNA", at positions 355 to 774 of the family's 1533-position model. The record is from RNAcentral.
UAGGGAAUAUUGGACAAUGGGGGCAACCCUGAUCCAGCCAUGCCGCGUGAGUGAAGAAGGCCCUCGGGUUGUAAAGCUCUUUUGUCCGGAAAGAAAAGCUUCGGGUUAAUACCCCGGGGUUCUGACGGUACCGGAAGAAUAAGCACCGGCUAACUUCGUGCCAGCAGCCGCGGUAAUACGAAGGGUGCAAGCGUUACUCGGAAUUACUGGGCGUAAAGCGUGCGUAGGUGGUUGUUUAAGUCUGAUGUGAAAGCCCUGGGCUCAACCUGGGAAUGGCAUUGGAAACUGGGCAGCUGGAGUGCUGUAGAGGGUAGUGGAAUUCCCGGUGUAGCAGUGAAAUGCGUAGAGAUCGGGAGGAACAUCUGUGGCGAAGGCGACUGCCUGGACCAGCACUGACACUGAGGCACGAAAGCGUGGGGAGCAAACA